Dermacentor albipictus is the source of this 402-nucleotide long non-coding RNA. RefSeq lists it as uncharacterized. Lineage: Eukaryota; Metazoa; Arthropoda; Arachnida; Ixodida; Ixodidae. The record is from RefSeq and is a predicted model, not a curated record.
AGAACUGCGGUCACAGGUAUGCUUCUCUUGGUGCUCACGUACUUCCUGUGCUUGACAAUGGGCGUUUCGCUGACCGUAUGGUUUCGUGGCUGCGACCCUGGGCUGCUCGGCGUCAUCAAAAGCAUUGACCAAAUUCUGCCCUACUAUAUUAACACAUACUUGGUGCACAUACCCGGCUUUCUAGGCCUAUUUCUGGCUGGGGUCGUCUGUGCUGCCACAAGCACAAUAUCUUCAACAAUCAAUUCUCAGGCGACUAUAAUAUAUGUCGAUGUCAUAUCUCCUCACUGCAAGAACGCUGACCAACACGUGUUAUGGAUUACGCGAUGCACAGUCCUAAUUUUAGGCGUCAUCAUGACCGUUUACAGUACCCUCUGCGUAUACAUGGGAUCUUUGACAAGGGUG